CACUCAACCAAGAAUACAGAUACAGAGCUUCUGCCCUGAGCCACAUUCAAAUACUGUGCUCUGCUUCCACUCACUUUAACGUUGCUUUACAGACCUGAUCAUUGCUGUACACGUUGGGGAUGUGAAGGUAAGUUUAUAUUUUCCAUAUUCUUUCUUAUUUUAAUCGUGGCCUUGGUGUGAUGCUCAGUUUAAAGACUCUGUAUGUAUCACAAGCCUUUUAUUAAAGACACAUAUGUUCUGUAUCCCCAGUCCUGAGAGUCUAAGGAGCCUACAGUCAGUACAGGGAGAAUUCUGUUCAAAUCUCUUUAAAUGUAUUUGUUUUUUCUAUAGUUAGAAAACACACCGUCUAUCGUUUGCUUGCUUGAUAUAUUUUUUAAUUUACUUAAUGCAGCAUGACGUUCGUUUUGAUUUACCUUAAAUACUUUUAUUACAUUCUUGUAUCUUUAAUUCUUAAAUAAUGUUAAAUAAUAUGCCUGAAAAGGGGAUCUGCAAAUUGAGAGGAGAAAGGUGAUUUAAAAAAAAAAAUAUAUAUUAUGUAUUAUAUUACUUUAGAUCUGCUUAGUUCUAUUUAGGAUCAACAAUUAGCUUUCAAACGAUAAGGAAACUAAUAAUACAAUGAUAUAUGUGUGUGUUAGAACUGUGUGUGUGCAAAUAUAUAAAUUUGUGUGUGUAUAUAUAUAUAUAUAUGUGUGUGUGUGUGUGUGUGUGAGUGUUGUGUAUGAGUGUUGUGUAUAUAUAUGUGUGUGUGUGUGUGUGUGUGUUAUGUGUAUAUGUGGGUGUGUGUAUAUAUAUAUAUAUACAUAUAUAUAUAUAUAUGCACACACACACACACAAAUACAUAUAUAUCUCUAAACACACAUACACACACACACACACACAUACACACACACACAUAUACACACACACACACAUACACACACACACAUAUAUACACACACACACAUAUCUAUACACACACACACACACACACACAUAUACACACACACAUCACCUGCUAUCUGUAGAUCCCAUCGGGCAUAAUAGGAUGAGCUGAGCUGUUUCUCUCUAUAGAUGACGCUGUUCCCUGGUUCUGUCUAUAGGAGACACUCGCUGUCUGUUGCUCGCUGUCACACAGACCUGGCUUGUUUAAUUGCUUCACCUUAACAUUAUACAUGCAUUAUUCCAACGUAUUGCUGUCUGUAUGCACUCUCUUUAACCCCUUCACUGCAUGGCAAGCUAGCAUAAUAAAACAAACUCUCUAGCUCUCUAACAUAAGCUACUCAACUAGGUAACAAAUUCUCUCUCUCACACACAGACACACACAAAACCCUCACAUUUAUUCAACUGACAGGCGAGAAUGAUCGUUCGAUGGUUCCUUCUCCCCACAGAGCGAUAAAUAUCGAUUUGUAACGAACAGGAUAGAAUGCUGCACGUGGUGUAAGAUUGUGACCUGGCUGCUAUUAACCCAUUGUGUGCCAUAGAGUUCAGGGUAAUAUCCUUCUGGCACCACAUGGGUUAAAGCAAGCUGCAGUGACCUGUAUUACCAUUAACCCUUAUUUACCUGGGGAGAAGACUCAGAGCCACCGGGGCCAGCAGAUCAGGUGUGUCCAGGGUCUCCUAUUAGGGGGCCACACACAAGGUAUUGUCUGCCCCAUUCGGGUUCUUUAAAAGCGUGUUUAGCAUAAUGUGAAUUAUACAGCGAUCUUCCAGCAGCUGUAAUACUGGAGCCUCUCUAUUCUUUUCACUAUUAUAAUUUUGGUUAAUUUUCAAUUUUAGGUCCUACAUCUCUGCAAUUUGUGUAUGAAUAACAGAAUAAUUUUCCUCUUUUGUUUCGCCUUUCCUGUUCCUGAAUCUAAAUAAAGAUGGCUUUUUAGUAUUAAGAGUGGAAGAAAAUUACAGGUAAUUAUCUUUGACGGUAAAAAUGCUGUAAUCAGCAGGGCUACAUGAAAAAUUACUCUAAUUAUGGCUGCAUUUAAGAGAAUGGAAAAAAAACCUUCUUGUGGAUAAAAACCUUAAAUUGUCCCCAAUGUCUGCUUCAAACUGGAUGGGACUGCAGCUGCAGCUUUGUUCAGCAAUGAUCCUGGGGAGAUGUGAACCCAAAGUUUCACAGUGGGAAGGGGGGAAAGAAAAGAGAGCACUUUUCUAUAAUAUAACAAUACCAGAACUAGAAAAUGACAAGACUG
This is a non-coding RNA of Pelobates cultripes (western spadefoot toad), 2162 nucleotides long. The record is from the annotation of a GenBank genome assembly. NCBI's taxonomy places the organism in Eukaryota, Metazoa, Chordata, Amphibia, Anura, Pelobatidae.